This 274-nucleotide small RNA is filed under the name Otolemur garnettii (small-eared galago). RNAcentral describes it as "7SK RNA (ENSOGAG00000023802.1)". The record is from Rfam by way of RNAcentral. Lineage: Eukaryota; Metazoa; Chordata; Mammalia; Primates; Galagidae.
UAAUGUGAGAGCAGCAUUAUUUCAUCGUCACUGCACCGAGUGACAGGAUAUCUGGUCUCCCUGGCUAGGUUGGCAUUUCCUUUCUCCCUCACUACCCAAAAUACAAUUGACCAAGAGGCUGACCUUUCCAUGGUGAAAAAGUGCUGUUUGGUCAUGGGAAUACAAGUUGCUAUCCUCUCAUGGUAGAAUGUGCAAGCAAGCUUAUAAAGAACAUAAAGAACAGCUUAAAUGUCCUCCCAUUACAGCAUAUGGAAUUUUCAUCAUUGUGAUACUG